GCUUAGAGUUUGAUCCUGGCUCAGAACGAACGCUGGCGGCAUGCCUAACACAUGCAAGUCGAGCGCGCUCUUCGGUAUCGAGCGGCGGACAGGGGAGUAACGCGUGGGAACCUGCCCAUGGGUAGGGAAUAACUCAGGGAAACUUGGGCUAAUACCCUAUUCAUCCCCCGGGAGAUAGAUUUAUCGCCCUUGGAUGGGCCCGCGUUGUAUUACUUUGUUGUUGAGGUACUGGCUCUCCACUGCAACGAUCCGUAACUGUUCUGAGAGGAAGAUCAGCCUCACUGAGACUGAAACGCGACCCACACUCCUGCGGGAGGCACCAGUGGGGAAUCUUGCACAAUGGGCGCAAUGCCUGAUGCUGCCCUGCCGCGUGAGUGAUGAAGGCCCUACGGUUGUAGAGCUCAUUUCACGCGUGACGAUAAUGACCGUUUCUCUCGACAAGAAGCCCCGGCUAACUUCCUGCCGACUACCUCUGUACUACAAACGGGGCUAGCGUUGUUCUGAAUUACUGGACGUAAAGCUCGCGUAGGCUGAUGAUUAAUUCAGGGGUGAAAGCCCGGACCUCAGCUCCGAAGAUGCCCUUGAUACUGGUCAUCUUGAGACCUGGAUAGGAGAGUGGAAUUCCCAGUGUAAAGGUGAAAUUCGU
This 646-nucleotide ribosomal RNA is filed under the name uncultured bacterium. RNAcentral's name for it is "bacterial SSU rRNA". It matches the Rfam family "Bacterial small subunit ribosomal RNA", at positions 1 to 691 of the family's 1533-position model. The record is from RNAcentral.